GCCCAAGAGAUCGGGAUAACACCUGGAAACAGAUGCUAAUACCGGAUAACAACAGAUGAUGCCUAUCAACUGUUUAAAAGAUGGUUCUGCUAUCACUCUUGGAUGGACCUGCGGUGCAUUAGCUAGUUGGUAGGGUAACGGCCUACCAAGGCGAUGAUGCAUAGCCGAGUUGAGAGACUGAUCGGCCACAUUGGGACUGAGCACGGCCCAAACUCCUACGGGAGGCAGCAGCU
This 233-nucleotide ribosomal RNA is filed under the name uncultured Lactobacillus sp. RNAcentral's name for it is "partial 16S ribosomal RNA". It matches the Rfam family "Bacterial small subunit ribosomal RNA", at positions 128 to 355 of the family's 1533-position model. The record is from RNAcentral. Lineage: Bacteria; Bacillati; Bacillota; Bacilli; Lactobacillales; Lactobacillaceae.